GAUGAACGCUGGCGGCGUGCCUAAUACAUGCCAGUCGAGCGAACAGACGAGGAGCUUGCUCCUCUGACGUUAGCGGCGGACGGGUGAGUAACACGUGGAUAACCUACCUAUAAGACUGGGAUAACUUCGGGAAACCGGAGCUAAUACCGGAUAACAUGUUGAACCGCAUGGUUCAACAGUGGAAGACGGUCUUGCUGUCACUUAUAGAUGGAUCCGCGCCGCAUUAGCUAGUUGGUAAGGUAACGGCUUACCAAGGCAACGAUGCGUAGCCGACCUGAGAGGGUGAUCGGCCACACUGGAACUGAGACACGGUCCAGACUCCUACGGGAGGCAGCAGUAGGGAAUCUUCCGCAAUGGGCGAAAGCCUGACGGAGCAACGCCGCGUGAGUGAAGAAGGUCUUCGGAUCGUAAAACUCUGUUAUUAGGGAAGAACAAAUGUGUAAGUAACUAUGCACGUCUUGACGGUACCUAAUCAGAAAGCCACGGCUAACUACGUG
This 497-nucleotide ribosomal RNA is filed under the name uncultured bacterium. Its description in RNAcentral is "partial 16S ribosomal RNA". It matches the Rfam family "Bacterial small subunit ribosomal RNA", at positions 28 to 507 of the family's 1533-position model. The record is from RNAcentral.